Molecule: unclassified non-coding RNA, 376 nt
Filed under: soil metagenome
Description: partial contains 5.8S ribosomal RNA, internal transcribed spacer 2, and large subunit ribosomal RNA
Rfam family: 5.8S ribosomal RNA (bases 1-120)
Source: RNAcentral
GAUGAAGAACGUAGCGAAAUGCGAUAAGUAAUGUGAAUUGCAGAAUUCAGUGAAUCAUCGAAUCUUUGAACGCAUCUUGCGCUCCUUGGCAUUCUGAGGAGCAUGCCUGUUUGAGUGUCAUUAAAUUCUCAACUACACUGACUUUGAAUUGGUGUGGCUUGGAUUUGGGGGGAAAAUUGUUGUGGGCUUUUUGUAUAGUCUGCUCCCCUGAAAUUGAUUAGCGGUACCUUUGUGGAACUGUCUACAGGUGUGAUAAUUAUCUACAUCUUAGACAUCUGCUGGAAUGCUGCUUUCUAAACCUUACUUGUAUUGACAAUCUUGACCUCAAAUCAGGUAGGACUACCCGCUGAACUUAAGCAUAUCAAUAAGCGGAGGA